RNAcentral lists this unclassified non-coding RNA (218 nucleotides) under uncultured Thelephoraceae. Its description in RNAcentral is "sequence contains ITS2". The record is from RNAcentral. Lineage: Eukaryota; Fungi; Basidiomycota; Agaricomycetes; Thelephorales; Thelephoraceae.
ACACCUCAACUCCCAUGGUUCGCCGUGGUGAGCUUGGACUUUGGGGGUUUUGCUGGCCUACGGUCAGCUCCUCUCAAAUGAAUUAGCCUGCCAGUGUUUGGUGGCAUCACAGGAGUGAUAAAUAUCUACGCUUGCGAUUGCCUGCCAGGUAACCUUCAGCAAUGGGGGUUCACUGGGGCUCAUAGACGUCUCUCCCUCAGUGAGGACAAUUCUUUAAA